GUGAAAACAAAAAGUCAACGACUGCAAAAUUCGCCUCAACAACAACAACAACGAGAACAAUAACAACGAGAACAACAAAAUCUUCUCUAGAAUCAAAAAAAUCCUCACAAGGUGAAGAUGUCACAGAGACUAAAUCAACACCAAAUAUCUGAAUGUCAGACUGCCACUUGGGUGGAGACAUUCAGUGACAGUUGUGAUUUUAAAACUUAAAGUCUGAAUGUCAGGUGGACUCUGGGCUUUGGGUGGACAUUUAGUUAGAGCUCCUUCACACAGGCCUACAGACAGUGAGCGCUGACAGGAAGUGGUCACUACGGGAAAAUGUAUGUUCACAGCUUCAAGGUGUACCUUUCUCUUUUCAGGUUUGUUAUUAUGGCUCAUUAUCCUUCCCGUUGGUUUAUCAGCACUCUUAAUAAUUGUUGUGGUCAUAAGAUGGAAGAAACAUAAAGGUAAAAGCAUCCUCAGAUUAUAGUUUAACAUAAUAUAACUAAUGUUAAGAAUGUGAAAAUGGUGAAUUGAAGAGAUUUCUUAUUUUGUAGAUUGGGAUCGUUAGCAAACAGGCAAAAAAUGGAUUUUUAAUGUGGAACUAAUCGCAGUGGGGUUUUUUUUUUUUUUUUUCUUUUUCAGGAAAAGAAGGGCAGCUGGCCGGCAACACUGUGAGUUCAAAUAGUUCCAUUGUUUCAUAUGAGAUUGAGCUAAUAAACCUUUAGAGGUGACUUCAUGCCUCUAAAUGACUAAAUAAAAUACAGGAUUUACCAUCAGAAACAGAACAGCUGACAAAGCUGCAAGUGAGCUGAAUCAGCUCCUCACUGACAAUGUUUAACUAUUUAAGUAACAUUUAGAUCUUUACACAGUUACUCUUCUGUUUGUGAGCAGGGACUGAGCUUAAACGCUGCAGAGACUCAGUCUGGACCAGGAACCAAUCAAACCAGGGUGAGGUUGCACACUAAUCUCAGUAUAAAUUUGCACUAAAUAUUUGUUUCAUUUUAACAGAAAAGUCAUGGUUAUGAUGAUGAGGAGGAACCAGAACUGAACUGUAUUAAACUAAACUGACAUUACUGAGCAGAUGUUAUUUUGUCUUCACUGUGUAGGCUGGAGCUGAUGAUGGUGUUUCCUACGUCUCCAUCAGCUUGCCCAAGAGGACCAGGAGUAAAACCCGGGUGAGAUUUUUAAUAUUUGUGGGGAUGAUGUUAGCAGUAAGACCAUGAUUUUCAAAGAGCCUUAUGUCUUGUCUUGCUCUGUAAUGUUUUUUUUUUUUUUGUUCUGUAAUGUUUUCCUAUAGUCCCGUGGUCAUGAUGAAGGUGACACUGUGACCUACAGCACAGUGAAAGCUGUUUCCUCUUCUGCUGGAGAUGAUCCCAACCACCUCUAUUCCACCAUCAAUGAUGUAAAGAAGUAGGAUGAUGCUCAUGAAAAGAGAUAUGGUAGAUGCUGUUUCACUUUUUAGAUGAGAGAGUGAAUGUGAAAAGUCAUGGGUUAUUUUUUUUUGUCUUACGUAUUGGUUGUUUUGAACUAAUAACAUAAUAUUGUUUUGGUAAAUGGACUUAUAUAACACUUUUAUAUAGCUACUCUUUCAGAGCACUCAAAGUGCUUUAUACAACAAAUUCAUUCACCCAAGCAGUUAAGUGCUCCCUAUCUAACAUUAAUACUCAUUCACACUCCGAUGGAAGCAUCGGAGAGCAACAUGGGGUUAGUAUCUUGCCCAAGAAUAUUUGGCAUGCAGACUGGAGCAGACUGGGAUCAAACCACCACCCUUCUGGUUAGUAGCUGACCUGCUCUAACACCUGAGCUACAGACACCAAACUGAAAAUCAUUUAUGUUUCAAAAACAGACAUGUUACCACACAUAUAUAUUUCUGUUUUGACCUAAACUGUUUCUGCCAGAGGGGUAUGUGUUGACGUUUUAUUCCAAGAAACCUUUUCUGUUUGCUGCUGCUCAUAAAAGUUUAGCUGAUAGCGUCCUAUCACAGUACAUGACAUCAUUACUGUCUAAGGCGCAGCUUCAAAUGCAUCCUGAACAGUGCGGACAAAAAUUAGAAAUAAGAAAAAGUACUAAUAAAUUUUUUUUUGCCACUGUAAAUAAAUGCUUUAAAUAAAGGAUCCAGAUACUUUCUUCAUUUUAAGAAGAAACCACUUUAGAGCCUGUGUCAUUUUGUUAUAAUUGCACAUAUUGAAGUGUUCACUGAAAAAAGAUAAUGUUGGAUUUAUUUAAUUUAAUAGUGGACAUUGGAUAAACACAGAUGCUUUGCUUUGGCAGCAACUUAAACAAUCAACUUAAAAUGAGGUGUUAAAUAUGACAAAGAUGCUUACAUAAAUCCAACACAUGGCCAGUCUCC
Long non-coding RNA from Astatotilapia calliptera (eastern happy), 2332 nucleotides. Lineage: Eukaryota; Metazoa; Chordata; Actinopteri; Cichliformes; Cichlidae. The record is from Ensembl.